This 290-nucleotide unclassified non-coding RNA is filed under the name Hevea brasiliensis (rubber tree). Lineage: Eukaryota; Viridiplantae; Streptophyta; Magnoliopsida; Malpighiales; Euphorbiaceae. The record is from RNAcentral.
UUGGUUAUAUCGGGUAUUUAGUGAUUUCAUUUCAAAUGAUCUGAACCUUCCUCCUACUGUAUUAUCUUAGUGUCUCUACAUGUUUCAAGGACAUGCAUUGUGUGUUUUAGAAGUUUUUUUUCCUUCUUUUCCUUGAAUCAUUGGCUGUUGCAUGUAGAGGGAUGUCCUUUACUCGUGUAUAAAAGGUUGUGUAUCAUUUUCUUUUCAUGGUAAGUUUCACGGUGUAUGAAGUCUUGACUAGCAGAAAGCUUCACCUUCAUAUCAUCCGUAGUUGUUCUAUGCUGGAUGAG